AUGCUCACUUCAGCAGCACAUAUACUAAAAUUGGAACAACACAGAGAAAAUUAGCACGGUCCCUGUGCAAGGAUAGCAUGCAGACAGGACUAUUUUGUCUUUGUCUUU
This is a small nuclear RNA of Dromiciops gliroides (monito del monte), 108 nucleotides long. Lineage: Eukaryota; Metazoa; Chordata; Mammalia; Microbiotheria; Microbiotheriidae. The record is from RefSeq and is a predicted model, not a curated record.